GAAAGUUCGUCUAACCAAGACAGUUGAUUUCGACUCAACAAAUCAUAGCCUCGCCCUAUGACUUUCUC
Molecule: transfer RNA, 68 nt
Filed under: Malacoptila fusca (white-chested puffbird)
Lineage: Eukaryota; Metazoa; Chordata; Aves; Piciformes; Bucconidae
Description: tRNA-Arg
Source: RNAcentral